CCAAGGAGUUCAGUAGGCACGCGAGUCGUUGACGUUGUGCAUUGAACAGUCGAAGGCGUAAUGAAAGUGUGCAAGAAAGUGAAUUGUACAUUUUUUUGUACUGUUUGCUUUCAGCAUGAUCGUCCUUUGUUUUGUUUGGGUGCUGCUUGAAUUUUUUCGGGCCACCUUUCUUAAUUCGUAAUGAAAGUAAGAAAAAAGUGAACGGUGCUUUUCUUGGGUGCCGUUUGCUUUUCAACAUGAUCGUCCUUUGUUGUUUUGUUUGGGUGUGUUGCUUGAUUUUUGUAACUUGCGCCGCCCUUCUUAAUAAUAUUUUGGACGCGCAGUGUUGUGCCGUUGAACAGUCGCACUGUUUGUCCAUCUCUCACGGGUUGGAGAAACAAUUGUCGAUCAGUCGGUUUCGGAGCGUGCACACUGGUACCCGAAAGAUGGUGAACUAUGCUUGAGCAGAAUGAAGCCAGAGGAAACUCUGGUGGAAGUUCGUAGCGGUGUUGACGUGCAAAUCACUCGUCUGACUUGAGUGUAGGGGCGAAAGACUAAUCGAACCAUCUAGUUGCUGGUUCCUUCCGAAGUUUCCCUCAGGAUAGCUGGCAUUUGUUUGUAACAAUUUUAUCCGGUAGAGCGAAUGAUUAGAGGUGUUGGGAACGCAAUGUUCUCAGCCUAUUCUCAAACUUCGAAUGGGUAAGCAAGGCGUUUUGCUUUGAUUUUACGAUGAAAUCGCCCAAUUAGAAUGCAUAAAUGCCUAGUGGGCCAAUUUUGGUAAGCAGAACUGGCGAUGUGGAAUGAACCAAAAGUCAGGUUAAGGUGCCAGACAUUGGCGCUCAUGAAAUACCAGAAAAGGUGUUGGUCGAUAUAGACAGCAGGACGGUGGCCAUGGAAGUUGGAAUCCGCCAAGGAGUGUGUAACAACUCACCUGCCGAAUCGACUAGCCCUGAAAAUGGAUAGCGUUUGAGCGCCAGGCCCAUACCUGACCGUCUCAAUUACGCACUUUUUUCUUUUUUGAAAAAGGUGUAAUGAACGUUGAGACGGGUAGGAAGGUCGCGACAGUGUUGCUUUGAAGAGUUUUGAGCGUGAGCUCGCUCGGAGCCGCUGUUGGUGCAGAUCUUGGUGGUAGUAGCAAAUAUUCAAGUGAGAACCUUGAAGGCUGAAGUGGAGCAAGGUUCCAUGUGAACAGCAGUUGGACAUGGGUCAGUCGAUCCUAAGAAAACGGCGAAAGCUUGUUCGAAUUUGCGACAUGAAUUGUAAGACUGUGUGUGUUUAUUGUGUGUGCGUGUGCAGUUGUCGUAUGUUUUCGAAAGGGAAUCCGGUUGAUAUUCCGGAACCGAGUAACGGAGACAAAGAGUAGCGCUUUAAUCUCUCUGUGGGGUUGGCGUUCAACUCAAUCGCGCGGUAACGCAAGCGAACUCGGAAAAUGACCGUCGUGAGUUUCGAAAAGAGUUUUCUUUUCUUUUUAAGGGACGCAUUCCCUGGAACCGGGUUGUCCGGAGAUAGGGAUUCUGGUAUCCAUAAAACGCCGACUUUUUCACGGUGUUCGGAGCGCUCUCGUCGGUACGUGAAAAUCCGAGCGACGCCUGGUAAAUCUCGUACUUGGUCGUACUGAUAUCCGCAGCAGGUCUCCAAGGUGAAUAGCCUCUGGCCGAUAGAAUAAUGUAGGUAAGGGAAGUCGGCAAAACGGAUCCGUAACUUCGGAACAAGGAUUGGCUCUAAGGGCUGGGCCGAUCGGGCUGAGGUUUCAAGCGUGCAGUGUAUGCUUGGCUGAGUUGUGUUGAGGACUUGUUCACUUGCCGCCGUUUGUUCGGUUGGUCUAGUGUAUUCGAGUCUGAAGCAGAGCUGGCCGACAGACCGGCACGUGCAGAACCUGAGCUGCGCGGCUGUCCGUUUACGUGUACAGACCGUUUCGGUCGGCAUUCAACAGCCAACUUAGAACUGGCACGGACACAAGGAAUCUGACUGUAUAAUUAAAACAAAGCAUUGCGAUGGCCGAUGAUCGGUGAUGACGCAAUGUGAUUUCUGCCCAGUGCUCUGAAUGUCAAAGUGAAGAAAUUCAAUCAAGCGCGGGUAAACGGCGGGAGUAACUAUGACUCUCUUAAGGUAGCCAAAUGCCUCGUCAUCUAAUUAGUGACGCGUAUGAAUGGAUCAACAAGAUUCCUUCUGUCCCUAUCUACUAUCUAGCGAAACCACAGCCAAGGGAACGGGCUUGGCAAAAUCAGCGGGGAAAGAAGACCCUGUUGAGCUUGACUCUAGUCUGACUCUGUGAAGAGACAUGAAAGGUGUAGCAUAGGUGGGAGAUUGUCAAAUUGCCAUCGUUCGCGCGGUGGUCCGGUGAUCGCCAAUGAAAUACCACUACUUUGAUCGUUUCUUUACUUAUUCGGUAAAGCGAAAAAAUUGUGGCCAAUUUGGCGGUGUUUAUGUCGCUGUUGGUCAUUGUUUUCAUGUUAGAUUGAAGCUUUGUUUACAGCCGUCGCUUUGUGUCGCCAUUUGACGCAUUGUUGUACUGGGUUAUCCCGGUGUGUGGUGUAGUCAGUAUGGAUGAUCGGCGAUAGGUUUGAAGUGAUUCGCUCCGGAAACAGUGUCAGACGGGGAGUUUGACUGGGGCGGUACAUCUGUUAAACGAUAACGCAGGUGUCCUAAGGUAAGCUCAGCGAGGACAGAAACCUCGCUUAGAGUAAACGGGCACAAGCUUACUUGAUUUUGAUUUCCAGUACGAAUAGAAACCGCGAAAGCGUGGCCUAUCGAUCCUUUUGAUUGUGUAGAUUUCAUGCAAGAGGUGUCAGAAAAGUUACCACAGGGAUAACUGGCUUGUGGCAGCCAAGCGUCCAUAGCGACGUUGCUUUUUGAUCCUUCGAUGUCGGCUCUUCCUAUCAUUGCGAAGCAGAAUUCGCCAAGCGUUGGAUUGUUCACCCACCAAUAGGGAACGUGAGCUGGGUUUAGACCGUCGUGAGACAGGUUAGUUUUACCCUACUGAUGACAAGUCGUUGCGAUAGUAAUCCUGCUCAGUACGAGAGGAACCGCGGGAUCAGACAUUUGGUUCAUGCGCUCGGCUGAAAGGCCGGUGGCGCGAAGCUAGCAUCUGCAAGAUUAUGACUGAACGCCUCUAAGUCAGAAUCUUUUCUAGUCAUUGGCAACGAUAAGUUGCGUCCGGACUCGAUGCGAGGAAACGAUUAGGCUUUGCUGUGUUUUGCGCAGCGAAGCCGUCAUCAUACCACGGUAGCAGGCAGUUGGGAUGGUUACGAAAAAGCAAUUUUUUGAAGUCAGUUGAAUUCAAUCAAACUGCUAAC
Molecule: ribosomal RNA, 3275 nt
Filed under: Trichinella sp. T9
Lineage: Eukaryota; Metazoa; Nematoda; Enoplea; Trichinellida; Trichinellidae
Description: eukaryotic LSU rRNA
Rfam family: Eukaryotic large subunit ribosomal RNA
Source: RNAcentral